Molecule: ribosomal RNA, 780 nt
Filed under: uncultured bacterium
Lineage: Bacteria
Description: bacterial SSU rRNA
Rfam family: Bacterial small subunit ribosomal RNA
Source: RNAcentral
AUUGAACGCUGGCGGCAGGCCUAACACAUGCAAGUCGAGCGGAAACGAUCCUAGCUUGCUAGGAGGCGUCGAGCGGCGGACGGGUGAGUAACACGUGAGAAUCUGCCCAUUAGUGGGGGAUAACCUGGGGAAACCCAGGCUAAUACCGCAUAAUCCCUACGGGGGAAAGCAGGGGACCUUCGGGCCUUGUGCUGAUGGAUGAGCUCGCGUCGGAUUAGCUUGUUGGUGAGGUAAUGGCUCACCAAGGCGACGAUCCGUAGCUGGUCUUAGAGGAUGAUCAGCCACACCGGGACUGAGACACGGCCCGGACUCCUACGGGAGGCAGCAGUGGGGAAUCUUGGACAAUGGGGGCAACCCUGAUCCAGCCAUGCCGCGUGUGUGAAGAAGGCCUUCGGGUUGUAAAGCACUUUCAGUAGGGAGGAAGGCUUAUCCUUAAUACGGAUGAGUACUUGACGUUACCUACAGAAGAAGCACCGGCUAAUUUCGUGCCAGCAGCCGCGGUAAUACGAAAGGUGCGAGCGUUAAUCGGAAUUACUGGGCGUAAAGCGCGCGUAGGCGGUUUGCUAAGUCAGAUGUGAAAGCCCCGGGCUCAACCUGGGAACUGCAUUUGAAACUGGCAGGCUAGAAUGCAGUAGAGGGAGGUGGAAUUUCCGGUGUAGCGGUGAAAUGCGUAGAGAUCGGAAGGAACACCAGUGGCGAAGGCGGCCUCCUGGACUGACAUUGACGCUGAGGUGCGAAAGCGUGGGUAGCAAACAGGAUUAGAUACCCUGGUAGUCCACG